UAUUGCACAAUGGGGGAAACCCUGAUGCAGCGACGCCGCGUGGGCGAAGAAGUAUUUCGGUAUGUAAAGCCCUAUCAGCAGGGAAGAAGAAAUGACGGUACCUGAGUAAGAAGCACCGGCGAAAUACGUGCCAGCAGCCGCGGUAAUACGUAUGGUGCAAGCGUUAUCCGGAUUUACUGGGUGUAAAGGGAGCGCAGGCGGCACGGCAAGCCUGAUGUGAAAGCCCGCGGCCCAACCGCGGGACUGCAUUGGGAACUACCGGGCUGGAGUGCCGGAGAGGUAGGCGGAAUUCCUGGUGUAGCGGUGAAAUGCGUAGAUAUCAGGAGGAACACCGGUGGCGAAGGCGGCCUGCUGGACUGCGACUGACGUUGAGGCCCGAAAGCGUGGGGAGCAAACAGG
Molecule: ribosomal RNA, 399 nt
Filed under: uncultured bacterium
Lineage: Bacteria
Description: bacterial SSU rRNA
Rfam family: Bacterial small subunit ribosomal RNA
Source: RNAcentral